This 301-nucleotide ribosomal RNA is filed under the name uncultured bacterium. RNAcentral describes it as "partial 16S ribosomal RNA". It matches the Rfam family "Bacterial small subunit ribosomal RNA", at positions 509 to 807 of the family's 1533-position model. The record is from RNAcentral.
CAGCAGCCGCGGGAAUACGUAGGGUGCGAGCGUUAAUCGGAAUUACUGGGCGUAAAGCGUGCGCAGGCGGUUAUAUAAGACAGAUGUGAAAUCCCCGGGCUCAACCUGGGACCUGCAUUUGUGACUGUAUAGCUAGAGUACGGUAAAGGGGGAUGGAAUUCCGCGUGUAGCAGUGAAAUGCGUAGAUAUGCGGAGGAACACCGAUGGCGAAGGCAAUCCCCUGGACCUGUACUGACGCUCAUGCACGAAAGCGUGGGGAGCAAACAGGAUUAGAGACCCGAGUAGUCCCUGUCUCUUAUAC